This is a long non-coding RNA of Pipistrellus kuhlii (Kuhl's pipistrelle), 507 nucleotides long. RefSeq lists it as uncharacterized. Lineage: Eukaryota; Metazoa; Chordata; Mammalia; Chiroptera; Vespertilionidae. The record is from RefSeq and is a predicted model, not a curated record. The transcript has 2 exons.
GGACAGCUUAGUCCCAUGCAGCUCGGUGCUGAAUGGGGAAACUGAGGCAUAGUAAGACCAUCUUGGGAUGAUCAAGGCAAGGGCACGGGGUGAAUGGUAACACAGCUGUGGGGCUCAAGGAAGAGAGGCCUGAAAGGAGAGACUUGUGAGCUACACAAUGAAAGGCCACCACCACAAGCAACAAUACGAGCUUUCCCAUCUAUCCCAGAAGAGUCGGUGCCUGAAGAGCAGACUGUCUGGGUGAAGGAGACUAAGAAGACAGCAGGAAAUACGUCUUGAUAAUGUCACACCAGAGGCAGGCAAGUGUGACAAGAAGGCAGGACCACAGGGCGGUAGCAUCACGCAGGGAGGCAGGGGGCCAGUCUGCCGGCUCCAGAGUGGUCGGGCCUGAGAGAUGGCCAUGGCCACGGCCACAGCCCUGUGCCAGGAACUGGGAACAGCGUGGGAAAAAGAACAGCUGUGGUCUGGCCCUUGUGGAAACGUACGUCUUAAGAAGGGAAACAAAAA